GCAACCUAUAUGCCCUUCAACACCAAGAGGGGAAGAAGAUGUAUGACUGAAUGACCAAAUCACUCCUGUCUCCUGUUAACCGACCAAUUAAUGCACUGUUGAUUGAGAGAGAGAGAGAGAGAGAAGCCCAGAAAACACCCCUACUAUGCCAGCGUACGAGGAUGCAAGAAUACACGAAGCCCAUUCUUCAUGAACAACGUAAGAGACAUCUUCUGCUGCACAAGGUGACCGGGAACCAGACAUAACCGGUAACGCAAUAGCACCGCUGAAGCCACAGAUUUCAUUUGCAGGUAAGCCAAGUCCUUCCCUAAACAAGUUCUGGGUCCAGCAUUAAAAGCCACAAACUUGUAGCCAUCUUUAGGAGGUUCAAAUCGGUUCCCUUCCGGUGACACCCACCGCUCCGGCUUGAAUUCCAUACAAUCCUCACCCCAUAUGCUCUUCAUUCUCCCUACAGAAUAUAUAGAAUAUGUAACGGUUGAACCUGCAGGCACGAAUGUGCCGUCCGGCAAAACGUCAUCUGCUACAACAUAUUUGAAAUCCUGAGGGACUGAAGGGUAUAGACGCAGUGUUUCGGCUAAUGCUGCUUUAAGAUAGACCAAUUUAUCGGCUUCAUCAAAGUCUAGAGGCUCCCCUAGCCAUUUCUGAUGAUCAUUGCCACGCGUUUCUUCAAGUACUGUUGAUAUUUCCUUGACAAUCUUUGCUUCAACUUCUGGGUGGUUCAUGACUAGCC
RNAcentral lists this unclassified non-coding RNA (730 nucleotides) under Hevea brasiliensis (rubber tree). Lineage: Eukaryota; Viridiplantae; Streptophyta; Magnoliopsida; Malpighiales; Euphorbiaceae. The record is from RNAcentral.